RNAcentral lists this long non-coding RNA (441 nucleotides) under Homo sapiens (human). Its description in RNAcentral is "HSALNT0359108". The record is from RNAcentral. Lineage: Eukaryota; Metazoa; Chordata; Mammalia; Primates; Hominidae.
CUUGACCGGGCCAGUCACAUAGUGAAUGAAAUCAUUUUGGGCCCUUCCCCCAUCAGACACUUUUCCAGGAAAUAGCUUUUUGCUGCCAUGACCUCUUUUGCUGCUGUUUGAUAUCCUUGAUAUGAAAAAUGUGAAUGGAGACGAGCACCCCAUUAACCAGCAGCUCUUAGGCAGCAUUGCUUGUUGGAGGUAUCUUUUCACAGAGGUGAGCCGGCAGCGCCCUGGGCAUUAUGGGAGCAUCCUGAAGAUGCCAUUUGGAGUAGCUACUUUGAGGACAAGAGACAAAAAGCCUGAGGAGAAAGUCACCAUGAAGGAAACAGAAAGAUUAAACAGCAUGCGUGAUCUUUGAUUCAGAGUCCCCAUCUCACCCUGGACUGCCUUCCUUUGGAAUUCCCUUGUGGAAAAAAAAAUUAAACUCUUAUUUGGUUAAAUAAUUGUAAG